UACGGGGGGGGCAAGCGUUGUUCGGAAUUACUGGGCGUAAAGGGCUCGUAGGCGGCCAACUAAGUCGGAUGUGAAAUCCCCAGGCUUAACCUGGGAACUGCAUCCGAUACUGGAUGGCUUGAAUCCGGGAGAGGGAUGCAGAAUUCCAGGUGUAGCGGUGAAAUGCGUAGAGAUCAUGAGGAAGACCAGUGGCGAAGGCGGGUCUCUGGACAGUUCCUGACACUGAGACACGAAGGCCAGGGGAGCAAACGGG
This 253-nucleotide ribosomal RNA is filed under the name uncultured bacterium. RNAcentral describes it as "partial 16S ribosomal RNA". It matches the Rfam family "Bacterial small subunit ribosomal RNA", at positions 524 to 776 of the family's 1533-position model. The record is from RNAcentral.